RNAcentral lists this non-coding RNA (120 nucleotides) under Klebsiella planticola. RNAcentral describes it as "Raoultella planticola Lysine sequence". It matches the Rfam family "Lysine riboswitch aptamer". From Rfam's summary of the family: Riboswitches are metabolite binding domains within certain messenger RNAs that serve as precision sensors for their corresponding targets. The record is from RNAcentral. Lineage: Bacteria; Pseudomonadati; Pseudomonadota; Gammaproteobacteria; Enterobacterales; Enterobacteriaceae.
GGCCACAGGGGCUGAAUCCCCUGGGUUGUCACCAGAACGUUCGCAGUCGGGCGUUUCAUACCCAGGAACUGACGCAAGGCGUUGGGGAGCGGGUCUACAAGGUGGAGCACUUCUGGGUGA